Molecule: ribosomal RNA, 714 nt
Filed under: uncultured bacterium
Lineage: Bacteria
Description: bacterial SSU rRNA
Rfam family: Bacterial small subunit ribosomal RNA
Source: RNAcentral
AGAGUUUGAUCCUGGCUCAGAUUGAACGCUGGCGGCAUGCCUUACACAUGCAAGUCGAACGGCAGCACGGGAGCAAUCCUGGUGGCGAGUGGCGAACGGGUGAGUAAUAUAUCGGAACGUGCCCAGUAGUGGGGGAUAGCCCGGCGAAAGCCGGAUUAAUACCGCAUACGACCUGAGGGUGAAAGCGGGGGAUCGCAAGACCUCGCGCUAUUGGAGCGGCCGAUAUCAGAUUAGCUAGUUGGUGGGGUAAAGGCCUACCAAGGCUACGAUCUGUAGUUGGUCUGAGAGGACGACCAGCCACACUGGGACUGAGACACGGCCCAGACUCCUACGGGAGGCAGCAGUGGGGAAUUUUGGACAAUGGGCGCAAGCCUGAUCCAGCAAUGCCGCGUGCAGGAAGAAGGCCUUCGGGUUGUAAACUGCUUUUGUCAGGGAAGAAAUCUUCUGGGCUAAUACCCCGGGAGGAUGACGGUACCUGAAGAAUAAGCACCGGCUAACUACGUGCCAGCAGCCGCGGUAAUACGUAGGGUGCGAGCGUUAAUCGGAAUUACUGGGCGUAAAGCGUGCGCAGGCGGCUUUGCAAGACAGAUGUGAAAUCCCCGGGCUCAACCUGGGAACUGCAUUUGUGACUGCAAGGCUAGAGUACGGCAGAGGGGGAUGGAAUUCCGCGUGUAGCAGUGAAAUGCGUAGAUAUGCGGAGGAACACCAAUGGCG